AAACUCACUCUGUCUUGUCAUCACAUCACAUAACAUAAUAUCUGAGCUCAACAAUACUGCAAUAAUACUCUGGCAGAGUUGUUUUAGGCAUAAUCACAAUGUCAGAAGGGCCUAACAACCAACUAGCACCUACAACAACACAAAUGAUGGAUACUUCGUCUGCAGUGGCAUCAACUGCACCAUCAUCAUCACUACUGACAGACAAAGUUCGGGCACAACUUCUGGGUAUUGUGUUGGGAAUAGCUGCCAACCUCCUCGUCCUCCUCCUCGUCGUCGUUGUCGUCAUCAUCUUCUACACUGGCAGAUGCAGGUGCACUAAUCUAGGAAAUGCAGAAGCUUCCCCCAUCUAUGACGACAUAUUUAAUGGAUCAGUGCAUCAACACACAAAUGCAGGAGACUAUGAAACAUCUUGCAUCUAUGACGACAUAACGGGUGUAUCAGGAUAUCGACCUACAAGUGACAUUUAUGAAUCUCCCAUCUAUGAAGACGUAAGGGACAUAUCAGCAUGUCCAUCCUUAUAUGAAGUUAAAGAACAUGCCCCCUUCUAUGAUGACGUAGCCAAUGAAAUGGGGUGUCGACCUAAAAUCGGUGUGAAAAACUUUGCUGCUCCACCAUCUUUAUAUGCUACGACCAUUUUUGAAGAGGAACCUCUAACUUAUGAGUCCCAUCCAAAGUGAUCUGCAACCCAGAAGCUGAGGAUAAUAAAGAAGUCACCUUACAGCAAACCAAACAGCUUACAGUGGUACUCUGUAACAGAGCAGCAAGAAAACUGCCUGGUCCCUGGACAAGGACCCUGACAACCAUUAUAGAAAGACUGAAAAUGUCCAAGUCAGAACACAUUUUCAAAAAGAAAUCUCUGCAACCAGCCACUUUGGUAUUGGCUCUACAGGAUCUGCAUCAAUAAAUAAUCACUAGUUCACUGACCCAACAUCAGUGACACUGUAUUAAUACGAUUAUUCUAAUAAUAAAAAUGACGUAAACAUAAAGAUGGAAAAGUUGAAUUAAACAUAUUCAUCUCCAUGUUGAUGUUCUCUGUUGUAUCGGAACAGAAACACGAUCAUCUCUGAACCUCCGAGUGGGAAAGACAUGAAAAUGUAAAAUGUAAAAUGUAAAAUGUCGGAUCUACAGAAUCUUAAAAUGUGCUGUGUGCAUGUCAGGGACUAACUGAAGAUGUGUAUGUAAAUAAAAGUGCUUGUUUAUUCAGUUCAGUUUAUUCACUGCACAAU
Long non-coding RNA from Anabas testudineus (climbing perch), 1226 nucleotides. The record is from Ensembl. Lineage: Eukaryota; Metazoa; Chordata; Actinopteri; Anabantiformes; Anabantidae.